This 947-nucleotide non-coding RNA is filed under the name Ichthyoelephas longirostris. Its description in RNAcentral is "12S ribosomal RNA". It matches the Rfam family "Bacterial small subunit ribosomal RNA". Lineage: Eukaryota; Metazoa; Chordata; Actinopteri; Characiformes; Prochilodontidae. The record is from RNAcentral.
CAAAGGCCUGGUCCUGACUUUACUAUCGGCUUUAGCCCAAUUUAUACAUGCAAGUAUCCGCACUCCUGUGAGAAUGCCCUCAUACCCCCGUCCGGGUACGAGGAGCCGGCAUCAGGCACGACAUUAAGCCCAAGACGCCUUGCUACGCCACACCCCCAAGGGAACUCAGCAGUAAUAAACAUUAAGCAAUAAGUGAAAACUUGACUUAGUUAGGGCUAAGAGGGUCGGUAAAACUCGUGCCAGCCACCGCGGUUAUACGAGAGACCCUAGUUGAUAUAUACGGCGUAAAGUGUGGUUAGGGGCAAACAACAAAUAGAGCCAAAGACCUCCCAAGCUGUCAUAAGCACCCGGAGGCACGAAGCCCAAGUACGAAGGUAGCUUUAUCAGUACACCCCGACGCCACGAAAGCUUAGAAACAAACUGGGAUUAGAUACCCCAUUAUGCUUUGCCUUAAACUCAGAUGCUCUAUGUACCAACGCAUCCGCCAGGGAACUACAAGCGCUAGCUCAAAACCCAAAGGACUUGACGGUGUCUCAGACCCACCUAGAGGAGCCUGUUCUAGAACCGAUAAUCCCCGUUAAACCUCACCACCCCUUGCUAUUCCCGCCUAUAUACCGCCGUCGCAAGCUUACCCUGUGAAGGCCCCACAGUAAGCAAAAUGGGCAAACCCCAGAACGUCAGGUCGAGGUGUAGCUCACGAGGUGGAAAGAAAUGGGCUACAUUUUCUGCAACAGAAUAUCACGAAUAACACUAUGAAACUGGUGUUUGAAGGUGGAUUUAGUAGUAAAAAACAAACAGAGCGUGUUUUUGAACCAGGCUCUGAGACGCGCACACACCGCCCGUCACUCUCCCCGAGACAAUACAAACAAGUAAAUAACCAAAAACACAAUAAAAAGGGGAGGCAAGUCGUAACAUGGUAAGUGUACCGGAAGGUGCACUUGGGACAC